Long non-coding RNA from Lolium rigidum, 366 nucleotides. RefSeq lists it as uncharacterized. The record is from RefSeq and is a predicted model, not a curated record. The transcript has 3 exons. Lineage: Eukaryota; Viridiplantae; Streptophyta; Magnoliopsida; Poales; Poaceae.
CCCUUAUCUUUCAAAUUCCCGUGCCAGAUCGAGAUGCGAAAUCUCCCGUUACCGCCCCUUCUUUAUGGGUAUUGGAUGAUGUCCUCAUUGAGUUAGGAUGAACUCAGAUGAUGCAAUAUGUAGUGGGGGACUACUUUGCUUCUUCUUUUCACGUUCGUGUUUUGGUCCGUCACCUGUGUUCGUUUCAAUCGAGCGUCCACUGGUGGCUGCUCAGGCCGGGAAAGAAAAGAUGCAUUUCAUUGGUCGAGGAUGUGUCAUCCUAGAGCUAUCAAUGCAAAAUUCUGGAAAGCUUGCAUUGCAUAUAUCUGGGAAUACAUGGACAAGACACGACAAAAUAUAUCUGAGCUGAACUUUAUUGUUGUAGAA